CCUACGGGAGGCAGCAGUGGGGGAUAUUGCACAAUGGAGGAAACUCUGAUGCAGCGACGCCGCGUGAGGGAAGACGGUCUUCGGAUUGUAAACCUCUGUCUUUGGGGAAGAAAAUGACGGUACCCAAAGAGGAAGCUCCGACUAACUCCGUGCCAGCAGCCGCGGUCAUACGUAGAGAGCGAGCGUUGUCCGGAAUUACUGGGUGUAACGGGAGCGUAGGCGGGCGAGAAAGUUGAAUGUUAAAUCUACCGGCUUAACUGGUAGCUGCGUUCAAAACUUCUUGUCUUGAGUGAAGUAGAGGCAGGCGGAAUUCCUAGUGUAGCGGUGAAAUGCGUAGAUAUUAGGAGGAACACCAGUGGCGAAGGCGGCCUGCUGGGCUUUAACUGACGCUGAGGCUCGAAAGCGUGGGGAGCAAACAGGAUUAGAUACCCGUGUAGUC
Molecule: ribosomal RNA, 439 nt
Filed under: uncultured bacterium
Lineage: Bacteria
Description: partial 16S ribosomal RNA
Rfam family: Bacterial small subunit ribosomal RNA
Source: RNAcentral